This 770-nucleotide ribosomal RNA is filed under the name uncultured bacterium. Its description in RNAcentral is "bacterial SSU rRNA". It matches the Rfam family "Bacterial small subunit ribosomal RNA", at positions 8 to 796 of the family's 1533-position model. The record is from RNAcentral.
AGAGUUUGAUCAUGGCUCAGGACGAACGCUGGCGGCGUGCUUAACACAUGCAAGUCGAGCGGAAAGGCCCUUCGGGGUACUCGAGCGGCGAACGGGUGAGUAACACGUGAGUAAUCUGCCCCUAGCUCUGGGAUAGCUCCGGGAAACCGGGAUUAAUACCGGAUAUGACCACUACAGACAUCUGUUCUGGUGGAAAGAAUUUCGGCUAGGGAUGAGCUCGCGGCCUAUCAGCUUGUUGGUGGGGUAACGGCCUACCAAGGCGACGACGGGUAGCCGGCCUGAGAGGGCGACCGGCCACACUGGGACUGAGACACGGCCCAGACUCCUACGGGAGGCAGCAGUGGGGAAUAUUGCGCAAUGGGCGAAAGCCUGACGCAGCGACGCCGCGUGGGGGAUGAAGGCCUUCGGGUUGUAAACCCCUUUCAGCAGGGACGAAGCGAGAGUGACGGUACCUGCAGAAGAAGCGCCGGCUAACUACGUGCCAGCAGCCGCGGUAACACGUAGGGCGCAAGCGUUGUCCGGAAUUAUUGGGCGUAAAGAGCUCGUAGGCGGUCUGUUGCGUCCGCUGUGAAAACUCGGGGCUUAACCCCGAGCCUGCAGUGGAUACGGGCAGACUAGAGGUAGGUAGGGGAGAAUGGAAUUCCCGGUGUAGCGGUGAAAUGCGCAGAUAUCGGGAGGAACACCGGUGGCGAAGGCGGUUCUCUGGGCCUUACCUGACGCUGAGGAGCGAAAGCGUGGGGAGCGAACAGGAUUAGAUACCCUAGUAGUCC